Molecule: long non-coding RNA, 1460 nt
Organism: Dicentrarchus labrax (European seabass)
Lineage: Eukaryota; Metazoa; Chordata; Actinopteri; Moronidae
Source: Ensembl
ACUCGUAAGCUCACGUUAAGUAGCAAGGUUAGGUUUGGUCGUUAUUAACAUGCAGUCGGCCCAAUAUUGUCAUAAUAAGACUGGUUCAGACUGCUGGCCUGGGUUGGCCUUCACUGGCUGGCUAUUUCUCGAGAAAAACACUAUACAAGUUGAUGCUAGCUACAGUAUAUAACGUUAGCACUUUGCAUCUCAUUGUGUGCUAUGAAAUAAAAAAUUGAGUGGAUGUGAAAAGUCUAUUAUUACUGUCCAUAUAGCAAAAUUAGAUUAGAUUCAGUUUGGGAUUAGUUUUAACUUUACUCUCAAGUUCAAGUACCGUGAAAUACAGUUUUACAUCUAACCAGAGUGCAAACUAGUAAAGUGCUGAGUGAGUCAGUGCCUCAUAUGCAGAUGAGGAUAUCAACAUGUGGACUUUAUAGACAGAGGUGCAAAAGAUGAGCAUAUGUUAUAUACUGAUGAACAGAAAUAAGUAUAAGUUACAUACUGAUGGAAUAUUGAAUCAAAUAAGUUGAGCAUAAUAAUAAUAAUAAAUGAUAUAUACAGGUAGAGUUAUGUUUAUGCAGAGAGGUAUGCACAUAGAGCUGUGAGCAUAUGGGACUAAGGCUAUGUCACCCACUACUCCCUAUAUAGUCCUCUACGUUGGAGUCCCUAUGUAGUGACUAGGGAGUAGGGAAUGAGUGAGUGAUUUCGGACACAUCCUAAGUGAAUUUAUAUAAAAAGAAUGCCAAAAUUAAAAUGCUUAGCAACUUAAUAAUAAUAUCAUUUGAAAAAUGGAAAUGAUUUACUCCAUGUUGAUAAUACACUUGUUUGUUAUAUCAUUUUAGAUUCACUAUUAAAAUAUUUGGGACCACCUGCAGCUGAAUCAUCAGACCAGGAACAGCCAUGCACCUCAGCUGCUCCGGUUUCCUCAGAGCCACCAGAAGAGACACAACAAGAGCAUGCUGCUCUUCCUGCCAACCUCACCCUCAGGAGGUUAUUGAUGACUUUGCGGCAAGGAAGGCCAGAAAGAUUGCAUUGUGAAUGAAGUGUGAUAUUAGUGUGAAGUAGAAUAUAUUAUUCUAUUCACUUGGGGUGAAUUUGAACCUUAUUUGUUUAUUUUGUAUAUUAUAUUUUGAUUAAUAGGUUAUAUGAAUCACAUUUUACAGUAUCUAAUUUUGCACACAAUGUUUUAUUGUUAGUUUAAUUUUUAGUUUUGAUUCUUUAGUGUGCACUUUUUGUUCUCAGAUAUUGCACUACUGUUAAAAAUAUGUUUAAAAGUUUAUUUUUUGUAUAUUUAUUAUUGAACAGGUUUAUUAUUUUGCACAUAUUGUUAUAUUGUUUGUAUUAUCAUUGUUUAAAUAAAUGUGCAAUUCUUUGGACAUGAGUUCUUUUCUCGUGGGGAUGGGGCGCUAUCAGUAAAGCUCGCCUAGGGCACCAAAUGGUCUAGGACCGCCCCUGCUCAUUGCAAACAGAGAACCUGUAAC